RNAcentral lists this ribosomal RNA (256 nucleotides) under uncultured bacterium. Its description in RNAcentral is "partial 16S ribosomal RNA". It matches the Rfam family "Bacterial small subunit ribosomal RNA", at positions 524 to 776 of the family's 1533-position model. The record is from RNAcentral.
UACAGAGGGGGCAAGCGUUAUUCGGAAUUAUUGGGCGUAAAGGGCGCGUAGGCGGCUUGGCAAGUGGAAGGUGAAAUCCCUCGGCUUAACCGAGGAACUGCCCUCCAAACUGCUUCGCUUGAGACCGGGAGAGGUGAGUGGAAUUCCCAGUGUAGCGGUGAAAUGCGUAGAUAUUGGGAGGAACACCAAAAAAGGCGAAGGCAGUCAACUAUUCUGUUCUUGACAUUGAGGCAUGAAAGCGUGGGGAGCAAACCGG